This 474-nucleotide ribosomal RNA is filed under the name uncultured bacterium. RNAcentral describes it as "partial 16S ribosomal RNA". It matches the Rfam family "Bacterial small subunit ribosomal RNA", at positions 29 to 523 of the family's 1533-position model. The record is from RNAcentral.
AACGAACGCUGGCGGCAGGCUUAACACAUGCAAGUCGAACGAGAUCUUCGGAUCUAGUGGCAGACGGGUGAGGAACACGUGGGAACAUCCCUUCCAGCUCGGAAUAACGUUGGGAAACUAACGCUAAUACCGGAUACGUCCCUCGGGAGAAAGAUGUAUCGCUGAAAGAUUGGCCGGCGUCAGAUUAGCGAGUUGGUGAGGUAAAGGCUCACCAAGGCGACGAUCUGUAGCGGGUCUGAGAGGAUGAUCCGCCACACUGGAACUGAGACACGGUCCAGACUCCUACGGGAGGCAGCAGUGGGGAAUUUUGGACAAUGGGGGCAACCCUGAUCCAGCCAUGCCGCGUGAGUGAAGAAGGCCUUCGGGUUGUAAAGCUCUUUCGGUCGGGAAGAAAUCGCAUGGGUUAAUACCCUGUGCGGAUGACGGUACCGGCAUAAGAAGCACCGGCUAACUACGUGCCAGCAGCCGCCGUAA